GACGAACGCUGGCGGCGUGCUUAACACAUGCAAGUCGAACGGAAAGGCCUGCUUUCCCUUGUGGAUUGCGGGUACUCGAGUGGCGAACGGGUGAGUAACACGUGAGUGAUCUGCCCCCAACUUGGGUAUAAGCCUGGGAAACUGGGUCUAAUUCCCGAUAGGACUGCAGGGUGGUGCCUGUGGUGGAAAACGAUUUUCUAGUGGUUGGGGAUGAGCUCGCGGCCUAUCAGCUUGUUGGUGGGGUAAUGGCCUACCAAGGCGGCGACGGGUAGCCGGCCUGAGAGGGUGGACGGCCCCAUUGGGACUGAGAUACGGCCCAGACUCCUACGGGAGGCAGCAGUGGGGAAUAUUGCACGAUGGGCGGAAGCCUGAUGCAGCGACGCCGCGUGGGGGAUGACGGCCUUCGGGUUGUAAACUCCUUUCGACCGCGAGGAAGCCACCUGGUUGGAAGGGUGGUGACGGUAGUGGUAGAAGAAGCACCGGCUAACUACGUG
This 494-nucleotide ribosomal RNA is filed under the name uncultured bacterium. RNAcentral's name for it is "partial 16S ribosomal RNA". It matches the Rfam family "Bacterial small subunit ribosomal RNA", at positions 28 to 507 of the family's 1533-position model. The record is from RNAcentral.